Molecule: long non-coding RNA, 6737 nt
Filed under: Ananas comosus (pineapple)
Lineage: Eukaryota; Viridiplantae; Streptophyta; Magnoliopsida; Poales; Bromeliaceae
Description: long non-coding RNA (ACOM_LNC023303)
Source: RNAcentral
AAAACCCUGUUUUUGCUUCAUUUGCCGCAGUUGGAAGAAAUCGACGGCCAUAAAUUGCGCUGCUAGGCUACCUGCUUCGUGACGACGCCACGAGGUGGGGGGUGCUAUCCGAAAUAGCCGAGUUUUAUUCUAUGUCUAAGUUUCAUUUGUAUUGACCAUAUUUCAUCAUGCAUUGAGUAGUGAGAAGCCUAUGAGUUUGGGGUAAAUUCAUGCUUAGUGUGAGGGUUGAUGAUCCAUGAUUUGCAUGAUACUUGUAGGUAUAUCUAUUUGCAUGAUUUGAGAUAGAUGUGUAUAUGUAUGAUAUAUGAGAACCAUAGAUGCACUUAUUGUAUGAUGCCAAAAUAGUUUUAUAUAUGCAUGUUUCAUGAGAUACUAGUGGACAUAUGCAUGUGAAUAUGAUGUAAGAAUAGACUAGAUUCAUGAGGAACUAGUUAUAUAAACCUAUGGCAUUAUGCGAAUUAGAAAAUAUGGCAUAUGUGGCCGAGUGUGUGAGUAUUGCAUGCCUUGUGAUGGAAAGGAAUGUGGGAUUCCCGUGAUCCUCGAGUGGGAGGACUAUGAUCAUACUCGCGUCGUCUGUAUCUUUUGGCUUGUAGAUGGUCGCGCCUCCCAAGCGGUGAGCUCCGGAGUUGUAUCACGGUGAGAUAGUGUAGCAUACCGGAUUUUUUUUAUUAAAUGUGAAUAUAAAUAAAAAUAAUGUGAGAUACUAUUUUUCUUAGACUUAUAGAAGUAAAAUAUAAGUCGGGAUCGACUCGUGCGGAAAUCGGAGUGAGAAUAGAAGAUUUUGAAUUUUUUGUGUGAAUCAAGGCUGUUAUUUUAGCAGAAAAUGCACAGUGUAAGAAAAUUUCGAAAAUUUGGAAAAAUGUUAGGAUUAUUUUUAUGAGGCUAGAUUUAAAGUUUCAUGACUUUCUGACACCAGGAAGGUGGAAAAUUAAAUCCGACUGCUAUCUGAUAAAGAUUACUGUUCGAUAUAGUUUUCGGUGACCAAACGGGGUCGAAACUGAAAGAUUAAAAUUUUUUUCAUUAAGUAAGGUAAAACUGAUCAUGAAUGUCAAAUUUGAGCUCAAUCGGACGUUCAGAAGGGCAGACGAAAAAUAUCUGUACCUGAGCUACAAUCUGAUGUGAAUAGUAUUUUGGGAGUAUAUAUAUGUGAACUUGCACUCUUUUUUUUCUCAUUUGUGCCCAACCCGAGAGAGGCUUGGAGGGCAAGUUUCUUUUCUCUUUUUCUCUCUUUCUCUCUAGUUCUCACCCCUCACUCCUUUUCUCUUCUAAUCUCUCCACAAAAGAGGAUUAAUUGGAGAAGAAGUUAGAGUAGAAUCCAUGAAAGUUGGAGAGUACCUUGGAGCUCAAGCUUUCAUCUUCUUCCUCUCUAUUAGAGAAAGCUUUGGAGGUAAGCUUUGGUAGCUACUAUGGUAGAUUGCUAAGGAAUGAUUUGUAGGCUCUAAAAUUGGAUUUAGAGGAAUCCUUAGGUGCUAAAUAGAUGCUAUUUGCUUGAAUCAUGAAUCAAUUUGGUGAUUUCUUGCAAUAGUAGCAUGUUAAGGCUCAAAUUGGGGUUUUGCUAUGUAUGAGGGUUUGAUCUAAAUUGAGCCUGUAUAAACCUAAUUGCUAGGUUUUCUGACGCGCUGGCGAAGUCGGUUCGGCGAUACGACGAGGCUACGCGAAGAUAUUAAAGAAAAGGCCGAUUUCGGUACAGAUUGCCGCAACUUGCGGCGUAAGCUUCCAAAAAUCACGAAACCGGAAUCGUAGCAUCGUGACAUCACCUAAAGUCUUGGAGCUAAGAGAGUCGAGGGCACGAAGGGUCGCGUGGAGCUCUCGGUGGGUUUGACCUCGCUACAAAUGAGAAAAUCUCAUUUAUGUGGAUUUAAGUAUCGUAAAAUGGAAAAUCAUGUAUUUUCAUGAAAGAUGCAUUAUUUGUGAAUUUUAGAAUGCUUGAAAUGUUUAUGUUAUAUACAAUGUAUUUUCGGACCUCUAUGUAGUAGAGAACUUGUAUGUGAGACUUAUGCAUGGGUUUAGCAUUCUAAUUGGGACUUGGAAUCAUACUCCAUAUAGUAGACAUGACAAAUGUAAUAUGCCUUGGACAUAAAUCUCAUUUGAACAUAGGAGAAUACAUUAGGCCAUAAAGUGGCUUUGGACUUGAAUAACUUGUGAGUUAGGGAGCUAAUGUCGUAACGCGACAUCCGGCUUGAGCUAUGAAUGAGCCUAGUAAAGUAAUGCCAUAGAGAGGCAUUAGACAUGAAUGAUAUGUGAAUUGCAUGUGCAUAUUAAUAUUAUGAGAACUAUGCUAAGUUGAUAGUUACAUACGGACAUGUUGAAACCAUAUGCUAGUGGAUAGAUGCAUGUUAAUAUUUAUAUGCAUUGUAGAAUACAUCUUAGGUACAUAUUAGCAAUGUGAGAUCAUGCUAGAGAGCAUGCGUAUUAACCUAUUACUGAUAGGGUAAGCUAAUGUCAUAAAGCGAUAUUGAGCUUGGGACAUGUAUAAACCUAGUAAAUAAUGCCAUAAAGAGGCAUGAAAAUUGGAACAUGUUUGGAUAUAGUAAUGUUUUAGUGCCCUAAAGAGGCACUAGAUAUUGUGAAUGUUGGAACUUCAUUUGGGGAUAUUAAACUAGACCUAUGAGUUGCUAGCGAUCAUUUCCAUGGUUGAGCCAUGAUGGCCGGAUCGUUGUGACGAUGACUAUGCUUGCUCGCUCGUGCGGUAUUGAGAAGCCUACGGGGGCCUGGAGGGUUAGACUCAUUCCUCGAGGGGGAAUGUUGGGGCUACCACUGGCACUUAGACGGCACAAGUCGGCACUCCGGAGUUAGCCUACGUGACUUAUACUCGCUCGUGCGGUAUUGAGAAGCCUACAGGGGCCUGGAGGGUUAGACUCAUUCCUCGAGGGGGAAUGCUGGAGCUACCACUGGCACUUAGGCGGCUCAAGCCUGACUACACUUGUGUAGGUCCUAAACAAGAUUGAACAAUGACAUUAAACCGGUGUAUGACAAUCACUACUCGAUAGACUUAGUAGUUGGUUUACUUGAACAUGCUUUUAGCAUAGUAAUGGACAUUAGGACAUAUACUAUUGUUUUCGCAUAAUAGUAUACUUGGUGGUCAUGAUAAAGCAUAUUAAUCAUGUAUUGGUAUAUUGGAUUAUGAUGGGGUAGAUGUACACUAUGUUGACAUCAUGUGAUAUUGCGGCAUUGUAAAUUAGCAUUUCAUUACAUGCUUUUCCUAUUUACAGUUUACUAGUAGUUCCUUUAUCUACUUAUGCUUUUGGGUCUAGUGGUGCAUUUGGCUAUGGUCAGUAAUUGCCCACUGGGAACUAUAAAUUAUAGUUCUCACGCCUCCCCUGUUUUAUGUUUUCUUUCAGAGCCUUCCACCCCGGGAGAGGCUCGGGAUCGCGGAAAAGGAAUCGCCUCGAGUUAGCUAGCGAGGAAUUCGACGAUAGGUGGUCUACCUCUCUUCUGAGUUUUGUUUGGAGAGGUUGAGAGACUUGUACCAUUUUUGUAGAGACCACCCCCUAUAUGUAGCUUGAGACUUAUGAUGUAUUAUUUUUACGUUUUGCCUUGGUGGUUUAGUUUCCCUUGUUUCUACCUGUUGUUGGAACCUAGCUGUAUACUUGCUCUGAUAUCUUUAGAUACACUCUAUUUAUUGUUCAUUUAUUCGCUAUUAUUGUAGACGUCUUAUAUGUGUAGGCAUAUGGCGGGUCUGGACACGCACCGGGCGGGCCUAGGCCGGGUCCCGGGGCGUGACAGAUUAGUUUGGUAUCAGAGCCUAGGGUUGAGUCUUAGGGGACCUAGCAAACCUUAGGCUGGUUGGACUAUAGGAAAUAGGCUCGUGAGAGAUGAGGUCUAUUUGACAUGUAAGCGAAAGUAUCUCGAUUGGGUAUCUUGGAACAGCUCUAGAAAGUGAAGUUAAAUUGAAGUGUAUAGCCUCUAACUUCGCGGAGGGUUACGUUUGCCGCCGACAACGUAACAUCGGGAGUUAGUAGUAAAGGACACUUCCUUACUUUCGCAUGAUUUGGGUAUUGGUUAGUUGAGCGGGGUUGCGAUAGCGUGAGUUUUAUUAACUUACGCUUUUAUAAUGUUGUAGUGAUAAUGCCGAUUACACGCUCUAAGUCUGUUGGAGCGGACAACGCAGCAACUUUUGAGGAAAUGGAAACAUUCUCUACCUCCGGAUCCGGCGAGGACCGUGAGUUGAGGAGCCAGCUUGCGGCCCUCACCGAUUUAGUUACCCAGCAGGCGUCGGCGGCUCAGCAGCAGGCAGAUGCGGCGCACCAGCCGGAGGCGCGAAUGAAGUGCCUGGAGGAUCUUCUACUGCAGCAAGCGGCUGCCAGGGAGGUUCAGGUCCCUACACCACCCGCGCCGGUGGAGGUUGUUGCACCCAGGGGGUCGUCCCCUGUGCUCGACACUUCCUGGGCGGCACUGACGGUGGCACCUCGGGAAGAGGUUAUUGCGGCACCGCGAGCUCAGGUGCCGUUGGCAGGGUCAGUUUUUCCCGUGAUGGUUGAGGGAGCGGAGCGGGAACGGUUCAUGGAUCGCCUCAAUGAGUUUAGGAGGUGUAGCCCCCGGAUCUUCGAUGGAGAGCGAGCCGACCAUUGGAUCGUAGAGAAGUGGUUGAUGCAUAUGGAGAAGUUAUUCCGCGACACCUUCGUGGAAGAAAGAGAUAGAGUUUGGCUCGCCACUCAUCACCUGGAUGGCGAGGCCUAUAGUUGGUGGUUGGAUAUCCAAGAUAACCCCAACACCGACCUUGCAGCGAUUUCUUGGAAAAGGUUCAAGGAACUCUUGUUGGAGCACUACUUCCCCGUCAGCGUUAAGAGGAAGAUGGAGCAGGAUCUGCACGAGAUGCGCCAGGGGGAUCGGACUGCGGCUGAGUACGAGAGGGAGUUCUCUCGGCUUCUACACUGUGUGCCCUUUGUUGUGCGGGACGACGAGGACAAGGCCCGCAUCUUCGAGCGAGGACUUCGGCCUUCGAUCUUUCGGUUGGUGCAAUCCUCCAACCUCCAGACCUAUCGAGAUGUGGUGAACCGCGCGCUCAUUGUGGAGGGCGGCGCGGCGGAAUUGCAGGAGCGCCGUGAGGGCUUAGAUAAAGAUAAGGGCAAGAGGCCCACGGCUGAGGGUGCGGAUCAAACGCACUCUGGGAGGCCGCCGAGACAUCCCAGGAGCCGGAGCCAGUCGCGAGGACGUGGCUCAUCUGCAUUGCAUGGAGGAUCUGAUCAUCGCCAGGCUCCGAGCUGCGUGAUCUGUAGUGGUCGUCAUUACUCGUGGCAGUGCUCGCAGAGUCGGGGCAGGUGCUACCUGUGUUGCCAGGAGGGUCACUUCCAGUCGGACUGCCCGAGGGGUCCAGUUCCAGGGCCGUCAUCAGCAUCGGCACCAGCUUCACCGGGUCCCAGUUGAGGGACGACUUCUGCUCACUAUCAGGCCGGGCGGCCACCUGUCCAGAGACAGACGGAGGGGUCACGACAAGUCCCGAGCGGGUGCAUGUAUGCGGCCCAAACUAAGAAGGCGGCAGCAGCCGAGUUUGUGGCUGCAGGUACCAUUAUAUUAUUAUGGCAUUCGAGUUUAUGCAUUUUAUGAUUGAGAUGUUUGCAUCAAUUGCAUACCUUGAUCGGCUGUUUGCCGAAUUGUUUAGCAUUGAUCCUUUUCCGAUGCAUGAUCGGAUAAUCGGAUGUGUCGUCUUGAAUACCCUACCUUGUGAGAGGAUUUUGUGCGCUAACAAAUGGAUUGGCCUUACUUGGUGUGGAGUAGUUGUGGGGUACCUUGUACCUUUGAUCUUGCGAGCUAACUUGACUCGCCUUGGGAAUUUGAGCACGAAAUAGUGCAUUUUGAGGAUUUAUUUUCGCUAGUUGUGUUGACUAUCCCCUUACCUAAAAUCGGGUAAUUACUGGGGAGGAUUAGUAUUUGUGGCUCGUUAGAGCAUGUCGUGUAGGAUAACGACGUCGGGUGUUGCUUGGGGGACGACCCGUGCCUGGACCAUUUGUGGACUGUGGAGCCUGGGCCCUUGGGGCAGGCGCAGUCAGCUGUGAGUGACAGUGGCUCGAUACCUGCGGGUAGGGGAAAAGAUUUUGGUAAGGACGGUAGUUCGAGCUUAGACCUGGGAGCAUAGAAUGCCACGUGUUGGAUCUUGGAUAGCCAUGUGGAAUUAGAGCACUCACGAUGGAGCGAUGCACCUGUGAUAUUGCUUCUAAGCAAUGCCGGUGAUCAAAUCGCAGUGUGUUCUCUUGGGAGAAGUAUGCUAAUGUCCUUAAUGGCUCGAUAGGUCGAGUUGAGAUGUGAUUGAAGUUUCGAGGACGAAACUCUUUUAAGGGAUGGAGAAUAUAGCAUACCGGAUUUUUUUUAUUAAAUGUGAAUAUAAAUAAAAACAGUGUGAGAUACUAUUUUUAUUGGACUUAUAGAAGUAAAAUAUAAGUCGGGAUCGACUCGUGCGGAAAUCGGAGUGAGAAUAGAAGAUUUUGAAUUUUCUGUGUGAAUCGAGGCUGUUAUUUUAGCAGAAAAUGCACAGUGUCAGAAAAUUCCGAAAAUUUGGAAAAAUGUUAGGAUUAUUUUUAUGAGGCUAGAUUUAAAGUUUCAUGACUUUCUAACACCCGGAAGUUGGGAAAUUAAAUUCGAAUGCUAUCUGAUAAAGAUUACUGUUCGAUAUAGCUUUCGGUGACCAAACGGGGUCGAAACUGAAAGAUUAAAAUUUCUUUCAUUAAGUAAGGUUAAACUGAUCGUGACUGCCAAAUUUGAGCUCAAUCGGACGUUCAGAAGGGCAGACGAAAAAUAUC